UAUUAAGACAUACAUUGGUAACUAAAAUAAUAUUUGCUGCCCACCUUGUCAACUGGCAAUGGGGAACAAAAAUGGCAAAACACACUGCACUUACAGUACAGUGGCAGUAAAGUAAUAGCAAUAUCACAACGACAGCCAGCUGAGCAGGAGGAUCCCUUUGAUUUCAGACUGAAAUCGCUUUUUCUGUGAUAGCUUGACUACUUUGACUACAUAUCGCCACCUGUUCUGCAGCACCGAACCUGACAUUUGCUAUGUAUUAGCACCAACAGAAACGUUUCUACUGACCAAAUCAUAAGGACUCAUUGAACACCAGCAUCAAGAAUCCAGCCAAAGAGAAGCAAAGUUCUACCGCCAAUUUGUGUGAAUAGUGAGUCAAGUCAAGAGUGCUUGUCAUGCGUGCUGAAGAACAGAACAGCAGCAUAACAGAUGGAUGGCGAAAUAAACUACAAAGAUGAAAAUGGAAAGAAAAUACAAAAAUAAGUCCCACCAGAGGUUAACAUAGCAGAUGAGAGAAUAGUUUUCAGCUCUGAACUAAAUCACGUGCAACAAAGCAAGUCUGAAGUAUUUUAAAUUUAGUGCAUAAUUUUCCAUACUGAUGAGCUUUAGAUGUGAUUGCUGCCAAUGAUUCCUGCAGAGAGAAGUGCACUAAAUUGUUCAAAGCAAAUUGUGCAUCCACAUUACAUCAUUUUUUGUUACUUUCAGCCUGUACCUUAAAUUCAUACUGAUAUUAAACAGACUGUGUAUGCCGUUUUGA
This is a long non-coding RNA of Amblyraja radiata (thorny skate), 754 nucleotides long. RefSeq lists it as uncharacterized. The record is from RefSeq and is a predicted model, not a curated record. The transcript has 2 exons. Lineage: Eukaryota; Metazoa; Chordata; Chondrichthyes; Rajiformes; Rajidae.